GAGCACACUAACUGGUGCUAAGGACCCUGAUCCAUCCUCACCUGGAUCCUCCCCUUCCCCCAGCUGUGGACUAGGAACUCUAUUUAAGGUCACCUCAGGUUUUUUACCUUUUUCUGAGCUAUUUUGUAGGAUUGCUGGUCUCUGGCUCAGUCAGAAGCAUACGCUGCUUGGCCAUGAAGCUGCUUUGUUGCCCUGGACUCAUAUGGUAACCUCACCUCUUGCUUGAACCUGGCUGUGGUCUCUGUACCUGCCCUGCUCACCAUGCUCAGGUUCAGGCUCGUGCAUCUUCUGAGAGUCACUGUGAGGUCCUGCUGCCUGGCCCCGCGCUGACCCAGACUUGCCUCUCCUGAUGCCCCUUCUUGGGAAGCACACCAGUGGAAAUACGACUUGCCAUGGCUCUUGUGGGACUGUCUUCAUGGAACAACAGCUUGGGUGGCUCAAAGACUAACUGGUGACAGGGUCUGUGAAUGGAGGAUGAGCUGCUGAGGAAUUUCUCAAGCUAAAACUAUACAAAGAAAGAUUGGGUCUGUUCUUCCUUCUUUGUGGAUCCUUGCUCUGCUGAGAACAGAAGAGGCACCUGGUCUGACUCCCUGCAUUAAUGAGCCUUGUUCCACUCAAUCUGCACUGGAACUGUUGCAGCAUCUCUUUUAGGCUGUUACUGUUGACCUUCUGGCUCUGGAUGCUGAAGGGUUUCUUGGUAAGCCAAGAUUUUCUUAAAGUUUCUGACUUCAUCUUGCUUUGUGCAGGCCAGAUGCUGGUGGUAGGUGUGUGGCGUGGUGGUCUGAGGGCAGGCUUUUCUUCCUGUGCUCUGUGGAAAGCUGUGCAAGUAGGAGUAACGUCACUGGGUGAGUGUGGCUGGAGAGCUGGGCACAGUGACACAGUAGUUCCCCAAACCAAUAAUAGUUAGGCAGCUGCUGCAAAGGUCUAACAAAUCAGAUGAGUCUUCUCGCCUUCCUUUCCCCCUCAGGCCUCUUUACAGUAGUUCACAAUUCAUAGUGAAGAUUAGAGUCUUUCACCUCAUGCCUCGUGAGGACAUUGUUGCUGGGAUGGAUGGUACCCUGUGCACUUCAGCAUGUGGCUGCUUUACUGUACAAACGACCCUGAGAACAGAGAGGUAUUUCAGAAAAUGUAAAGUUUUCCCAGAGAAAUGGAAACUAGCUAACAAGAUGAAACAUCUUUCCUACCAGCACAGGGAGCAAAACAGUAAAAAAGAAGGUUGGCAGGGAGAAACAGGAAAGAAAACUAAAAAGCAAUUAAAACACAGCCCCUUCCUAAUGCUACCAACUACUGUAAUAUUUGUGUGACGCAGUUAAUGGGGCUGAAGUCUGGGUCCUCACUAUGCUGGGGGCAGGCAGAGGGUGAUGAGGGCUGGCAGGGAAGGUACAUGGCAGGCCCCAGCAUCCCCCAAGAACAGCACUGCUGGUGACAGCUGUGCAACCAUGAAAGCAGCUGGGAGCAGAAGUGCCCCUGAUUUCUAUUCCCCCCACCACUGUGUGGAAUAAUCCUGGUUGUGGGGCAAGCCUUGAAUCAGAGGUGGCAGCUUGUAUCCUGUUCCCAGUCCUUGCAGCAUCACCCAAGUCCCAGUUCUUGACUUUCACCUCUCUUGGGUGCAAACAUGGCAAGAGGAAUCAAAUUUACAGCCCACAGUCUUGCUGCCAAGGACCUUCCGCCUUGGGUUUUGUUCCUUCCAAUUUGUUCUCCUUGCAGCCUUAGCCACUUGCUGCUGCCAGUAAAAUGCAUGCUGUCAGUGUCUGACUGUGCCAGACACGGCAUUUGAUUUCCAAAAUGAUUUUAAAAGCUUAAUUUGUUUUAUUCUCCAUUAAAGAAAACUUUCCUCUGUAAGGAAGACAUAAAUUAGGAUUUGGGGAUGAAGAGGUCAUACACAGGAAGGCAGAAGCUCUGACUUUCCCAGUAACCUCAGACAGGAACUAGCUCUAUCCUCUGCUGUUGUGCUGUUACAGGGCCCGUCUCACCCGGGUCACCUCUUGCCUAGGCUUGUGUUCAGUAUGUUUUCAGUAUGUUUUCUCUUGAGCUAGCUUUCCUUGAUCAUGGGUAUUCCCACCUCUGAGCCUUGGGUUUGAGAUGAGCCUGGAGGACUCAGCUGCACUGCUUUAAGGAGAGCUUUCUUGCUGUGCUCAGCUCUCUGUGCCAGGUCCUUUGAGUGGGUUUACAGAUGGGAUGGACAGCGUUGCCUUUAUCUGCCAUCCAAAAAGCUUUCCUGGGCUAUGAGAUAGGCUCCAGAAGCCUAAAUGUGCGAGUCACCCUGACAGAGCUGAAGAGCUAGUGCAGUGCGCUGGCUGGGAAAUGUCGCAUGAAGCUGGAGACACAAGCACUCGAGGAACAUAAGGACAGAUGCUUCCUGGACUAUUUUUCCAAGCAGUUUGCAAGCAUGUGACUGUUCCUCAUCCUGUGAGAAGGAGAGGUGCUGGCAUAAGCAAAGCUGACUUGCAGAUGAAAACUAAUGAGUGAAAUUACCGCAUUAACGAAGAAAAUCUUACUAGCAAGAUGUGAAAAGUAUUUUAAUCAUAAUGAAUAGGACAAAAUUAAAACUUAACUCUUCUCUAGUA
This is a long non-coding RNA of Anas platyrhynchos (mallard), 2567 nucleotides long. RefSeq lists it as uncharacterized. The record is from RefSeq and is a predicted model, not a curated record. Lineage: Eukaryota; Metazoa; Chordata; Aves; Anseriformes; Anatidae.